ACUCCUACGGGAGGCAGCAGUGGGGAAUAUUGCACAAUGGGCGCAAGCCUGAUGCAGCCAUGCCGCGUGUAUGAAGAAGGCCUUCGGGUUGUAAAGUACUUUCAGCAGUGAGGAAGGUGGGUAUGUUAAUAGCAUAUUCAUUUGACGUUAGCUGCAGAAGAAGCACCGGCUAACUCCGUGCCAGCAGCCGCGGUAAUACGGAGGGUGCGAGCGUUAAUCGGAAUUACUGGGCGUAAAGCGCAUGCAGGUGGUUUGUUAAGUCAGAUGUGAAAGCCCGGGGCUCAACCUCGGAAUUGCAUUUGAAACUGGCAAACUAGAGUACUGUAGAGGGGGGUAGAAUUUCAGGUGUAGCGGUGAAAUGCGUAGAGAUCUGAAGGAAUACCGGUGGCGAAGGCGGCCCCCUGGACAGAUACUGACACUCAGAUGCGAAAGCGUGGGGAGCAAACAGGAUUAGAUACCCUGGUAGGC
RNAcentral lists this ribosomal RNA (468 nucleotides) under uncultured bacterium. RNAcentral's name for it is "bacterial SSU rRNA". It matches the Rfam family "Bacterial small subunit ribosomal RNA", at positions 335 to 795 of the family's 1533-position model. The record is from RNAcentral.